Molecule: long non-coding RNA, 2148 nt
Organism: Rattus norvegicus (Norway rat)
Lineage: Eukaryota; Metazoa; Chordata; Mammalia; Rodentia; Muridae
Source: RefSeq, a predicted model, not a curated record
CUCCAGUCCCCACUCUACAGUAAACAUCCAAAUGGGCAGAAAACCCAGUCUGUAAGAAAACCUCCUGGCCCAGCAGCAGAGCCUGAUAUGAAUCCAACUCCAGUCUCUAGUUGCCUGACUUUUCCAUGAUGAAGUUGUGAUGAAAAACGGCCUCCGAGGGAAACCGUGAGAACGACCACCAGGCAGCUGUGGGUAUCUCCAAGGAGCCUUCAGCCUGGGAGCUUUCAAAUCCAGAAUGUCUCUGUUCAAAGAUGGCUCCAUCUUUUACCUUUCACGUGACCCUGCAGAAGACACUCAACCUGAGGACAUCUCAAACCUGAUAGCGUCACACACCCUGAAAGGUUAGUUAGAGGUCAUUCACCCCACCCCACUCAGGGAAUUCUCUUAUCUUAGGGGUCCCUGGGGAAGAGCAAAUCAUUUCACGGACCUCAGCAUUUCCUUCAGCAGAGGAAGAACCUGGAGUAACCCCUUCUAGAAUGAUCCCCCAAGUCACUGCAGGGCCUCCCAGGACAGCCUCAGCUUCUACCUCAGAGGGGAGAGAUGUGAGUGACAUCAGCAGCCUGAGGGCCAGAGUGACUGACAGCCACCCGCCCACUGUCAGGGUUCAGUCUCCAUCCUGAGCAGCCCCCCACCCCUGCAACCCUCUUGGGGUUCAAGAGUAACUAAAAGAACCAUUUCCUCUUGGGGCCAUUCUCGUUCCUCCUGAGACAGGAGGAUUUUUGAGAUGGAAACAUUCAGAACUCCCGGGAGGUUCAGUAAAGAGAAGCAGCAGGGAGUAGGCUCAGAGGUGGAGCAGAAGGACCAUUUUGAUGGGGCUAAGAAGUAUCCAAGGAAGGCCAGAAAAGGCCUGAGACCAGACCUGUCCCAUCUUCCCAAGACAUCGGGAGCAGAUCUACCUUCUCACAGGCUUGUGUCGCAGCCGUGAAGGAGACUCACGUGCACACUGAGGGGUUUGGAGGCUUUAAUGAGCCUCAGCACGGUGUGGAGCUCAGUAUUCUGGGCGUCGUCCUUCUGGAAAUAGACUUGACCUCCACAGCUCAUGCCUAUGGCCCAGGCGGUCAGCAAGGCCACAACGGCAACCCCUUACAUCAGCUUAAAGUGCCUGCAAGGUCACAGCCGCUCUCCUCCAUCUCUCUCUCUCUGCUGGGAUUUCUUCACAGUCCUUACUUGGCAAGCAGUGGGAGCUCCAAGCUCCAAUCUUCAUUUCACGUAGGUCGUCAGCCUGGUAGCUAACUGAAGAGCCACAGCCUGCAAUCACAGUUAGCAAUGGAAGGUGGGGUGGCUCAGUACUCACGGGCAGUGUCACGCAGGAGUGACCCAGGACACCUCACAAACGUGCCCUAUCACCUGACAAAGCCAAUUUGAGGAGAUGGCCCUUGGAGCGCCAGCACACAGCUACUUUAAUUGAAACUGUCCUCCCCGCCCAGGGUCUCUCAGUGUUCGCCUGUCCUUCCAAGUAGAAGCAAUUAAAAGGUGACAGACGCCCUAACACACCAAAGGAGUGGCUCCACAAUGUGACACUUUCCCACAGAGAUGUACCGUCGAGUGGCCCUUACCCAACUUCUAGAAAAGCAGCCAGUAAAAGGCAGUCGCCAUGAGGGCAUAUACGAGCAGUCGUCAGGAUCUUGCAGUAGUCUCAGAAGACAAUGCCUGAGCUCUGGGAUCUGCUUUCAAACAAACCCUCAAAGACUAGGGAGAGCAGGGGAGCCGAGCCCGGUGACCGCUGAAUCCAGGUUGUGGUACAUUCCAGUCACCACGGCUGGGAGAGCUGUGUUGGACUCUGAUUGAGCUCAGCUUGUUUUCUGAGGCUGCAUUUUACUUGUGGAAGUGUCUCUGGAUCCUGUAACGCAGCAUGGACGCACACCCUGCCCACCUGUCUGCAUCGUAACCAGCAGGCCAGGGCGUUUCACACGGUCUGAGCCCACGACUGUCGGUGGCAACAUGCCUUGUGUGUCUGAGACGCUCCUGACACCCGGGCCAAGUCUUCCUGCAGGGCUAUAUCCAUCCAAAGCUACAACUCGAUCAUUACAACAGUCACUGGUUGGUGUGCGUGGCUGAGCAAAGACGGUGGGGCCUCUCCCUAGCCUUACCUCAAGACCCCAGGGCAGUUUUGAAUCAGAAAUAAUGGUUACUAUUGCUCCUACGGAA